CCCCUGGUGGCAUAGUGGUUAAUGCCUUUACUGUAGUCACUCGUUCACAAACCAUAAGGUUGUGAGUUCAAUACCAGCCAGGGGC
Molecule: non-coding RNA, 85 nt
Organism: Phrynosoma platyrhinos (Desert horned lizard)
Lineage: Eukaryota; Metazoa; Chordata; Lepidosauria; Squamata; Phrynosomatidae
Source: the annotation of a GenBank genome assembly